ACUAAACUGACCAAUCAGGAUAGAUAUUUAAAUGACGCAACGUCGUUUGCUUCUGUUCAAAAUGCGGCCUAAAGAGGCACAAGGUGGGUGAAUGAAUAUUUUCUCGUUCCGCGUAUAUAACCGAUCAUCACAACAUCAGGUGAUGUUUUAAUAUACUGUAAGUGCGUCAUCAGGCCUUCAUGUGUUUAAGUCAAGACAACAGGUGAAGAGAAAUUCUGCCAAAAAUAACGACAUACAAAUGAUUGGCCAUAAUGAAGCAGUGGAGGAUGGAGUUCUUUACGCACAGGCCUCCAGUGCUGCUUUGCACUGCUUCUGUGUGUCAGUGUCUUCUGGUUUACUUAUACCUCACAGGAUCGUCUUCAAGCUCUCCGUGCUUCUGCUGUGUGGUCUUGCAGGUCUGUGCGUGGGAUCCUCCCAAAACAAACUCUCUCUCUCUCUCUCACACACACACACACACACACACACACACAUACACAUAGAGUAUCAGGUGUAUCAGUAAAAAUGAGAGCUAUUUAUCUUCAAUUAGUGGAUCACUUGUUUUUACAUUGAUGUUCUCUGCAAAUUAAAAUUUGGCAUCUUGCAUUACUUUUUAUUGAAGAUAAUGAGGAUUUGAAAGAACUAGGCAACAGUAGUCAUCGGGAUUUUAUGGAAGUCCAUUUCUGUCACAUACACUGUAAAGAAAAGGAAUUAUUUUUUCACGGUAUGCGGUAUUAUCACGGUAUUGAAAUUAAGUUUUAAAAAAGUGGUCAUAAUACAGUAUAACAGGUUAAAUAACUUUUUUUCUUAUAACAAAAAUAACUGAACAUUUAAAUAAAGCAAUACAAAAAAUAUAUUUAAAGUUAAAAAUUUUACACCGAUUAAAGUGCAAAAGAACUUUAAAGACCCAUAGGUAUCACUUUACAAUAAGACCUCAUUAGUUAACCUUAGUUAAUGCAUUAACAUUCACAAUGAGCAAGAGCUACAUUUGGUACAGAAGUUACUAAUCUUUGUUAAAAAAUACAAGUCUUAGCUCAUGUUAGCUCAUUAAAUAACACAGUUGCAACUUUCGAUUUUAACAAUGUGUUAUUAAAUAUUGGAAUACCUAAGAUUAAUGAAUGUUCAGAAGAAUUUUUCAUUGGCAGUUUGUUAACUAAUGAAGCCCUAAUGUAAAGUGUUAAUGAACAAUAAAGAAUCAAAACACUUUCAAACAAUAUCUAGGACAUGUUAUAGUCCAGAUUAAAAUGGAAAAAAAAUUAUGGAAAUAUAUAAAUAUUAUUUUAUAUUAUUUAAAUGUUUAGAAAGUAGCAGCUGCUUUUAUUUAUGGGGUUUCCAGGGUAAGGUCUGCAGUUUAGCGCCAUCUGCUGUCAGAGAGUGAAUGUGCUUUCAUUCAGCGCGUCUCUCACGUGUUCCUCCAUGUGCUUCUUGUGCGUGCUUGUUUACAUCAGAGUUCACAAGGGUCUUUAAAGCAGCAUACAAACGGUGUUGUGCAUUUUGACCAGUUGAUGGGAAAAGUAUUCUUAAAAUGCAUUUCAAAUUCUGAAUAAUUUGUAAUAUAUAAUUAUUCUCGGUAUUUGAAAGUGCCCACGAUAACAAUAUCGUGCAUAUUCAUUACCGCGAUAUAUCGCAUUACCGAAUACCGGCACAAGUCUAAUUGAGUAUGUUUUUCAAGAAAAUACUGUUUCAGUCCCUUCCUCAAAAUGUAAAAAAUAAAGCUUUAUUAAUAAAUAAUUUAUUACAUUUCUUUCAAUUAUUUUUUUUCAUUCUGUGUUGAUUUUUAAAUAUUUAGUCCAUAAAUAUGAUUUAUCGAAUUAUUUAUUUAAUUAUUUAUUUCUUUUUUUUUUUUUUGUCAGAAAGGGCCUAUCAUAGGAUUUUGCCGACUACAUACAAAAAAC
Molecule: long non-coding RNA, 1871 nt
Organism: Cyprinus carpio carpio
Lineage: Eukaryota; Metazoa; Chordata; Actinopteri; Cypriniformes; Cyprinidae
Source: Ensembl